RNAcentral lists this ribosomal RNA (397 nucleotides) under uncultured bacterium. RNAcentral's name for it is "partial 16S ribosomal RNA". It matches the Rfam family "Bacterial small subunit ribosomal RNA", at positions 523 to 918 of the family's 1533-position model. The record is from RNAcentral.
AUACGUAGGUGACAAGCGUUAUCCGGAUUUACUGGGCGUAAAGGGCGUGUAGGCGGUCUUGCAAGUCAGAAGUGAAAUUCCUGAGCUCAACUCGGGCGCUGCUUCUGAAACUGCAGGACUUGAGUGCUGGAGGGGAUAGCGGAAUUCCUAGUGGAGCGGUAAAAUGCGCAGAUAUUAGGAAGAACACCGGUGGCGAAGGCGGCUAUCUGGACAGUAACGUACGCAGAGGCGCGAAAGCGUGGGGAGCAAACAGGAUUAGAUACCCUGGUAGUCCACGCCAUAAACGAUGAAUACUAGGUGUAGGGGGUAUCGACCCCCUCUGUGCCGACGUUAACACAUUAAGUAUUCCACCUGGGGAGUACGGCCGCAAGGCUGAAACUCAAAGGAAUUGACGGGG